Molecule: ribosomal RNA, 619 nt
Filed under: uncultured bacterium
Lineage: Bacteria
Description: bacterial SSU rRNA
Rfam family: Bacterial small subunit ribosomal RNA (bases 1-519)
Source: RNAcentral
CCUACGGGAGGCAGCAGUGGGGAAUAUUGGACAAUGGGCGAAAGCCUGAUCCAGCAAUGCCGCGUGAGUGAUGAAGGCCUUAGGGUUGUAAAGCUCUUUUACCAGGGAUGAUAAUGACAGUACCUGGAGAAUAAGCUCCGGCUAACUCCGUGCCAGCAGCCGCGGUAAUACGGAGGGAGCUAGCGUUGUUCGGAAUUACUGGGCGUAAAGCGUACGUAGGCGGUUAUUCAAGUCAGAGGUGAAAGCCUGGAGCUCAACUCCAGAACUGCCUUUGAAACUAGAUAGCUAGAAUCUUGGAGAGGUGAGUGGAAUUCCGAGUGUAGAGGUGAAAUUCGUAGAUAUUCGGAAGAACACCAGUGGCGAAGGCGACUCACUGGACAAGUAUUGACGCUGAGGUACGAAAGCGUGGGGAGCAAACAGGAUUAGAUACCCUGGUAGUCCACGCCGUAAACGAUGAUAACUAGCUGUUCGGGCUCUACGAGCUUGAGUGGCGCNGCUACGACAUUAAGUUAGUCCGUCCGUCGGGAGGUACGGUCGGCGAGAAGUUAAACGUUAAAGUUAGUUAAGUUAGUACGGUUCGUUGAGACGUUGCCGACGGACGACGACGAGGGAGGUUAGG